RNAcentral lists this ribosomal RNA (2882 nucleotides) under Clostridium perfringens. Its description in RNAcentral is "bacterial LSU rRNA". It matches the Rfam family "Bacterial large subunit ribosomal RNA". Lineage: Bacteria; Bacillati; Bacillota; Clostridia; Eubacteriales; Clostridiaceae. The record is from RNAcentral.
AUAUAGGUCAAGCUACAAAGGGCGCAUGGUGAAUGCCUUGGCAUCAGGAGCCGAUGAAGGACGUGAUAAGCUGCGAUAAGCUUCGGGUAGGCGCACAUAGCCUGAGAUCCGAAGAUCUCCGAAUGAGGAAACUCACAUGGGAAACCCCAUGUAUCAUUAAGUGAAUACAUAGCUUAAUGAAGGUAACCCAGGGAACUGAAACAUCUAAGUACCUGGAGGAAGAGAAAAAAUCGAUUUCUAGUAGCGGCGAGCGAAAGGGAAGAGCCCAACCGGAAACUUGUUCCGGGGUUGUGGACAUAGCAUAAAGUGGAGGUAACUGAAGAGAACUGGAAAGUUCCACCGUAGAAGGUAAUAGUCCUGUAAGUGAAACGAGAAGACCACGAGUUAUGAUCCAGAGUACCACGAGACACGUGAAACCUUGUGGGAAGCAGGGAGGACCACUCCCAAGGCUAAAUACUACCUGAUGACCGAUAGUGAAGCAGUACCGUGAGGGAAAGGUGAAAGAACCCCGGGAGGGAGUGAAAUAGAACCUGAAACCGUGUGCCUACAACCGCUCAGAGCCCCUUAUGAGGGUGAUGAGGUGCUUUUGUAGAACGAGCCAACGAGUUACGGUAUGUAGCAAGGUUAAGUACUUAAGGUACGGAGCCGAAGGGAAACCGAGUCUGAAUAGGGCGACUAGUUGCAUGCCGUAGACCCGAAACCGGGUGACCUAUCCAUGGCCAGGUUGAAGCGAGGGUAAAACCUCGUGGAGGACCGAACCACGUUGCUGUUGAAAAGCAUGGGAUGAGCUGUGGAUAGCGGAGAAAUUCCAAUCGAACCCGGAGAUAGCUGGUUCUCUCCGAAAUAGCUUUAGGGCUAGCGUCGAGUAUGAGUAGUGGAGGUAGAGCACUGAAUGGGCUAGGGGGCAUAGCGCUUACCGAACCUUAUCAAACUCCGAAUGCCACAUACUUUGAGCUCGGCAGUCAGACUACGAAUGAUAAGAUCCGUGGUCAAAGGGAACAGCCCAGAUCGUCAGCUAAGGUCCCAAAGUGUAAGUUAAGUGGGAAAGGAUGUGAGAUUUCUAAGACAACUAGGAUGUUGGCUUAGAAGCAGCCAUUCAUUAAAAGAGUGCGUAAUAGCUCACUAGUCGAGAGAUCUUGCGCCGAAAAUGUAACGGGGCUAAACUUACCACCGAAGCUACGGGCUUGAACUUAGUUCAAGCGGUAGGAGAGCGUCGUAACCGGGCUGAAGUCGUACCGUAAGGAGCGGUGGACUGGUUACGAGUGAGAAUGUUGGCAUCAGUAGCGAGAUGUGGGUGAGAAUCCCACAGGCCGAAAACCUAGGUUUCCUCAGGAAGGUUCGUCCGCUGAGGGUUAGUCGGGACCUAAGCCGAGGCCGAAAGGCGUAGGUGAUGGACAACUGGUUGAUAUUCCAGUACCACUACCAUCGUUAUUAUCGAUGGCGUGACGCAGGAGGAUAGUGUGUGCUAGCUAUUGGAUGCUAGUCUAAGCGUUUAGGCAGUGAGAGUAGGCAAAUCCGCUUUCAUAAUGCUGAGGCGUGAUGGGGAAGUUCUACGGAACCGAAGUACAUGAUUCCACGCUGCCAAGAAAAGCGUCUAGAGAGAGAAGUAGUGCCCGUACCGCAAACCGACACAGGUAGGUGAGGAGAGAAUCCUAAGGCCGGCGGAAGAAUUACAGUUAAGGAACUCGGCAAAUUGACCCCGUAAGUUCGCGAGAAGGGGUGCCUACGAGAGUAGGCCGCAGAGAAUAGGCCCAAGCAACUGUUUAGCAAAAACACAGGUCUCUGCUAAAGCGUAAGCUGAUGUAUAGGGGCUGACGCCUGCCCGGUGCUGGAAGUUAAGGGGAACACUUAGCGCAAGCGAAGGUGUGAACUUAAGCCCCAGUAAACGGCGGCCGUAACUAUAACGGUCCUAAGGUAGCGAAAUUCCUUGUCAGGUAAGUUCUGACCCGCACGAAUGGCGUAAUGACUUGGGCACUGUCUCAACUGUAAAUCCGGCGAAGUUGUAGUGCGAGUGAAGAUGCUCGCUACCCGCGAUUGGACGGAAGACCCCGUAGAGCUUUACUGUAGCUUAGCAUUGAGUUUUGGUAUUGUCUGUACAGGAUAGGUGGGAGACUAGGAAACCAGGGCGUCAGCCUUGGUGGAGUCAACCUUGGGAUACCACCCUGACAGUACUGAAAUUCUAACUGGCGGCCAUGAAUCUGGUCACAGGACAUUGUUAGGUGGGCAGUUUGACUGGGGCGGUCGCCUCCUAAAAGUACGGAGGCGCCCAAAGGUUCCCUCAGAACGGUCGGAAAUCGUUCGAAGAGUGCAAAGGCAGAAGGGAGCCUGACUGCGACACCCACAAGUGGAGCAGGGACGAAAGUCGGGCUUAGUGAUCCGGUGGUACCUCGUGGGAGGGCCAUCGCUCAACGGAUAAAAGCUACCUCGGGGAUAACAGGCUGAUCUCCCCAAGAGUCCACAUCGACGGGGAGGUUUGGCACCUCGAUGUCGGCUCGUCGCAUCCUGGGGCUGAAGUAGGUCCCAAGGGUUGGGCUGUUCGCCCAUUAAAGCGGCACGCGAGCUGGGUUCAGAACGUCGUGAGACAGUUCGGUCCCUAUCCGUCGCGGGCGUAGGAAAUUUGAGAGGAGCUGUCCUUAGUACGAGAGGACCGGGAUGGACUGACCUCUGGUGUACCAGUUGUUCCGCCAGGAGCACAGCUGGGUAGCUAAGUCGGGAAUGGAUAAACGCUGAAAGCAUCUAAGCGUGAAGCCAACCUCAAGAUGAGAUUUCCCAUAGCGUAAGCUAGUAAGAUCCCUUGAAGAACACAAGGUUGAUAGUCGGGGGUGUAAGCAUGGUAACAUGUUCAGCUGACCGAUACUAAUAGAUCGAGGGCUUGACCAAAU